This is a long non-coding RNA of Cyprinodon variegatus (sheepshead minnow), 1122 nucleotides long. RefSeq lists it as uncharacterized. The transcript is spliced from 4 exons. The record is from RefSeq and is a predicted model, not a curated record. Lineage: Eukaryota; Metazoa; Chordata; Actinopteri; Cyprinodontiformes; Cyprinodontidae.
UCAAGGAGCAGCCAAGGGCCAACCAAGGAUCAACCAAGGACCAAUUAAGGAGCAGCCAUGGACCAACCAAAGACCAGCGAUGGACUAGACAAGGAACAUCCAAGGUAAGUGGGGACUAACCAAGGACCGAUUAAUGAGCAGCCAGGGGUCAACCAAGGACCAACCAAGGACCGUUUAACGAGCAGCCAAGGACUGGCUAAGGACCAACAAAGGACCAACCAAGGACCAGCCCAGGACCGGCCGUGGACAAGGCAAGGACCAAUCAAGGAGCACCGAAGGACCAAUCAAAGAAAAACCAUGGACCACCCAAUUACCAUCCAAGGAAAAUCAAGAACUGGUUUACGUAAGGUUUUCUUGGAGACGCCGCAGGCAGCUCGGUAAAACAACAGACCGCUAUAAUUUAAUGGAUCUAAUGGAUGAUCACUUUUAUAUGAUUGACCUACAGCUGUUUAAGGGAAGUUAAAGCCAUGCAGCGCUGCAGCAGUGAGGCGUUCAGAAAUCAGUCAUCACCAACUCAGGAGAAAAAGACUUGUCAGACACCGACCUGGAAACAGCGAUCCUAUCAUCAAUAAACAAGGUUGGGUCGAAGUUAUGGAAGAAAAGUCAUGACAGAAUUCCUGUCAUCAGUGGGUGUUUGAGCAGGUGAGACUCGAGUGGGAAAGAUUCUCAGAGGUGCACCAGCCAUAUAAUGAACUGCAUCACCAGAACCUGUGAGUGGAAAGAACAUGCCAGAGGUCAAUAAUGGGAUAAACUAACCCCUUAAACAGGCCCUAAUCCACCUUCUGGGUCAGGGUUACUUGAUAUGCAGGAUGACCUUAACAAAUUGUGUCCACCCUGGCCUGUCUAUGAGUCAGAUAGGACUUGGCAGAGUUGUGCAGUCCUGCAAUUCCCAUAGGAUACUAGGCAGAGGGAUCCCAAAUCAACUUGCAGUUGCGAGAUGCCCAGCAAGAAUUCCAGCAGAGCAGUUGCCCGAUGCUGCUGAAGCACCAUGGAUGUAUGAACAGGAGCUGCCUGACUUGCAGGAGCUGGUGUCCUCCCUGACUUGGGGAUCUGCCUUUGGCUCUGACCCAUUUUCACCAGAGGGAGAAUGAUGCCGUGCUGAGCAGCUAUUUGAAGAGAGGU